GAUGAACGCUGGCGGCGUGCCUAAUACAUGCAAGUCGAGCGAACAGACGAGGAGCUUGCUCCUCUGACGUUAGCGGCGGACGGGAGAGUAACACGUGGAUAACCUACCUAUAAGACUGGGAUAACUUCGGGAAACCGGAGCUAAUACCGGAUAAUAUAUUGAACCGCAUGGUUCAAUAGUGAAAGACGGUUUUGCUGUCACUUAUAGAUGGAUCCGCGCCGCAUUAGCUAGUUGGUAAGGUAACGGCUUACCAAGGCAACGAUGCGUAGCCGACCUGAGAGGGUGAUCGGCCACACUGGAACUGAGACACGGUCCAGACUCCUACGGGAGGCAGCAGUAGGGAAUCUUCCGCAAUGGGCGAAAGCUUGACGGAGCAACGCCGCGUGAGUGAUGAAGGUCUUCGGAUCGUAAAACUCUGUUAUUAGGGAAGAACAAAUGUGUAAGUACCUGUGCACGUCUUGACGGUACCUAAUCAGAAAGCCACGGCUAACUACGUG
Molecule: ribosomal RNA, 497 nt
Filed under: uncultured bacterium
Lineage: Bacteria
Description: partial 16S ribosomal RNA
Rfam family: Bacterial small subunit ribosomal RNA
Source: RNAcentral